UGCGGCCAAGCUAGUAAGGGCGUGUGGGGGAUGUCUUGGCACCAGAAGGCGAAAGGGCGUGGAAGACUGCGAAAAGUCCGGGGGAGCUGUCAAACGAGCUUUGAUCCCGGAAUACCCGAGCGAACCCAGGGAACUGAAACAUCUCAUUACCUGGAGGAAGAGAAAGAAACCUCGAUUCCGUUAGUAGCGGCGAGCGAAGGCGGAAGAGCCCAAACCGCGGGGGUAACCUCGUGGGGUUGUAGGACCACAUUUAGGAUCCCGGACCCCUAGCAGAAGUGGCUGGAAUGUCACGCCGCAGAGGGUGAAAGUCCCGUACGCGACAGGGUGAAGGGCCGAGUGGUAUCCUGAGUAGGACUCAACACGUGAAAGUGAGUCCGAAUCGGCGGGGUCCAUCCCGCAAGGCUAAAUACUCUCUGGUGACCGAUAGCGAACGAGUAGCGCGAGCGAAAGAUGGGAAGAACCCCGACAAGGGGAGGACACUGAACCUGAAACCACAUGCCUACAAGCGGUGGGAGCCCUAUGCCCGCAAGGGAACGGGUGACCGCGUGCCUUUUGCAUAAUGAUCCGGCGACUUACCGUAACCAGCCAGGUUAAGGGCCUCUGGUCCGAAGCCGAAGCGAAAGCGAGUCUUAAACGGGCGUCAAGUUGGGUGCGGUAGACGCGAAACCACGUGACCUACGCAUGGCCAGGAUGAAGUGGGAGUAACAUCUCAUGGAAGACCGAACUCAUUUGGGUUGAAAACCGAUGGGAUGAGCUGUGUGGGGGAGUGAAAGUCUAAUCAAACGUGGAGAUAGCUCGUUCUCUCCGAAAUAACUUUAGGGUUAGCGUUCGGAUAGUUGGCGCUGGGGGUAGAGCGACUGAUUUCGAACGGGGGCCUACCCGGCUACCCGUCGAAGCCAAACUCCGAAUACCAGCGUUCAAGUCCGGGCAGCUAGACGGUGGGGGAUAAGCUUCAUCGUCGAGAGGGGAACAACCCAGAUCACCCGCUAAGGUCCCAGAGUCGUGCUCAGUGCGAAAGGAAGUUGGAUUCCCGAGACAGCCAGGAUGUUGGCUUAGAAGCAGCCACCAUUUAAACAACGCGUAAUAGCGGACUGGUCGAGGAGUCCUGCGCCGAUAAUGAACGGGACUCAAGCACGACACCGAAGCGGUGGGUAGCAGCAAUGCUACGGUAGGAGAGCGUUGCGUGUGCGGCGAAGGGGUACGGGCAACGAGCCCUGGAGCGCACGCAAGUGAUUAUGCCGGAAUGAGUAGACGAUAAAACGGGUGAGAAUCCCGUUCGCCGUAAGCCUAAGGGUUCCUGGGGAAGGUAAAUCCGCCCAGGGUUAGCCGGUGCCUAACGUGAGGCCGAAAGGUGUAGCGGAUGGGGAGCAGGUUAAUAUUCCUGCGCUCCCGGCACAACACGGGACGUCGGUUCGAGGUGGUGUAGGCUGAAUAGAUUGCCUCAGGGCGUUUAAGAUCCCGAUAUCCACCGACGGCCGACCGAGAAAACCGUGCCGGAAACCGUACUAAAACCGACACAGGUAGGCGAGAUGAAUAUUCUAAGGCGCUCGAGAGAACUCUCGUGAAGGAACUCUGCAAGCUAAAUCCGUAACUUCGGGAAAAGGAUUGCCCACGCGAGUGGGUCGCAGUGAAAAGGUUCUGGCGACUGUUUACUAAAAACACAGGUCUGUGCGAAGGCGUAAGCCGCGGUAUACAGACUGACGCCUGCCCGGUGCUGGUAAGUUAAGGGAGAGGGUUAGCCGUAAGGUGAAGCUCGCAACCGAAGCUCCAGUAAACGGCGGCCGUAACUAUGACGGUCCUAAGGUAGCGAAGUUCCUUGUCGGGUAAGUUCCGACCUGCAUGAAUGGCGUAACGACCGGAACACUGUCUCCACGAGAGACUCGGUGAAAUUGUAGUUGUCGUGAAGAUGCGACAUACCCGCAGCUAGACGGAAAGACCCCGUGAACCUUAACUGCAGCUUGGUAUUGGGUUUAGACCCAGCAUGCGUAGUGUAGGUGGGAGGCUAUGAACCGCGUAUUUCGGUACGCGGGGAGCCGACGAUGAAACACCACCCUUGCUGUGUUUGAAUUCUAACUUGUUGUCUGUAGCAACAGGGACCGUGCUAAGUGGGCAGUUUGAUUGGGGCGAUCUCCUCCCAAAAGGUAACAUGACAUGUUGCCCUCCUCACUGGCGACAGUGGGCGAGCAAUUCGGCUAUAUGCUGGAACAUCCGAGCAUCCCGGGCUACGAGGCGCCUUCACCGGUGCCCGUGAAAAUGCCCGAGUGCGGACGAUCAGCAGGAAAGGCCGGGAACACGAGUUCCCGGAAUCCUCAGAGACUGCACGCCGAACGUCUGACGCGCGAAGUGGUCAGAUGAUGAUACAGUCCGUGCUCGGCGGCGACGUCGAGAGGCCGGCAGAAAUGCCCGGCCCCCUGGAACCAGCCCGGAGCGGUGUGAACCGGUCCGGGUCGCGUAAGCGACCAGGCGUAACAAUCAGAACGGAGGAGUGCAAAGGUACCCUCAGCCCGGUUGGCAAUCGGGCAUCGAGCGUAAAGGUAUAAGGGUGCUUGACUGCGAGUCCGAUGGGACGAGCAGGGACGAAAGUCGGCCUUAGUGAUCCGGUGGUUCCGGAUGGAAGGGCCAUCGCUCAACAGAUAAAAGGUACUCCGGGGAUAACAGGCUUAUCUCCUCUGAGCGUUCAUAGCGGCGAGGAGGUUUGGCACCUCGAUGUCGGCUCAUCACAUCCUGGGGGUGGAGAAGCUCCCAAGGGUUCGGCUGUUCGCCGAUGAAAGUGGUACGUGAGCUGGGUUUAGACCGUCGUGAGACAGGUCGGUCCCUAUCUGCUGUGGGCGGAGGAAACUUGCGGGGCUUUCUCCCUAGUACGAGAGGACUGGGAGGGACACACCUCUGAUGUUCCAGUUGUGGCGCUAGCCGCACCGCUGGGUAGUCACGUGUGGACGGGAUAAACGCUGAAGGCAUAUAAGCGUGAAACUUCCCCCUAGAUCAGGUUUCCUGCGUAAGCGAAGGCUCCUGGUAGACGACCAGGUCGAUAGGCCGGGCGUGUAAGUGCAGUAAUGCACUCAGCUAACCGGUACUAACAGCCGAACGUUUGGCCGCAUUG
Molecule: ribosomal RNA, 3100 nt
Filed under: Gemmataceae bacterium
Lineage: Bacteria; Pseudomonadati; Planctomycetota; Planctomycetia; Gemmatales; Gemmataceae
Description: 23S ribosomal RNA
Rfam family: Bacterial large subunit ribosomal RNA
Source: RNAcentral